CAAAUUUUAGUAAAUAUUCUCACAUUUUAUAAUGGCUAAGAUAACACAACAAUCCCAUAAUAGAACUAAAUAUGACCAACCAAAUAAACAUAUAACAUAUAUACUUACAAGUACAUAUACAACCUAUGAUAUUCAAAAUAUAACAGAUUCAAUUGCAUAUACCAUAUAUACUUACAACAAAACAUACUCAAUACUCAUUAGCUCAUAUACAUACAAUUAUCGAACAUGGUAAAGCAAGUAAACUGAGUUCUACACCAAAAC
RNAcentral lists this long non-coding RNA (261 nucleotides) under Lathyrus oleraceus (garden pea). RNAcentral describes it as "Pisum sativum (pea) long non-coding RNA (PSAT_LNC034983)". Lineage: Eukaryota; Viridiplantae; Streptophyta; Magnoliopsida; Fabales; Fabaceae. The record is from RNAcentral.